Molecule: long non-coding RNA, 765 nt
Filed under: Portunus trituberculatus (swimming crab)
Lineage: Eukaryota; Metazoa; Arthropoda; Malacostraca; Decapoda; Portunidae
Description: uncharacterized LOC123511790, transcript variant X2
Source: RNAcentral
CAAAUCAUUAUCAUACAAUGAAUCUUAACUUAACCUUAUACAUGACAUAACCUAAAUGUUUGCAGAAAUUAAAUUAAUGCAUCAUACCAAUUUCAAGUACUGCAUUGUAAGAUUGAAAUCUAUAUUAAUUUCAGGGCCCACAAGAAAACCUGCAGCGUUGUUGAGAGGCAUCGGGCAGCUGAAGCGACAUUUUCACAUGCUACACAGUGAGAUCCGAGUUGGUCCUCCAUCCAAGGUCUGCCAAAUUGUAGAGGUUUGUGCACUGCUGCACAACAUCUGCAAAGCAAGAAACAUCAUUCUUCCUGAGGAAGAAGAACAUCUUGCUGCAGCCGAGGAUGGAGGCAACGAGGAGCGACUCCUAGCACAGAAAGUUCAAAGUCGCCAUGAAGUAAUCCUUUACAGGGAUGAAUUUGUUGUGCUUCACUUCAACAUUGAUGAGUGAUGAGACACCAGUGUCAUGACUGCUGAGAUUGGUGUUAUUCUCAUGUGGAUGAUCUCCUCCUCAUCCACAAACACCAGUGAUGUACCAGGCAAGUCUGGCCCUUUUGGUGCUGGAAGUGGUGUGGCAGGUGCCUCCUCCUCAACACCCACUGCCUCGGUCACCACUUCUCUCUGUUGGGCUGCCUCUGCCACUUCCCCAGCAUCAUCUGCUGCCUGCACACUGCUGGCAUCAUUAGUUCUAACUUCAGAAACUAAGCUGAUAAUGUUUUUGGUUUUAUUGCUAAGGACAAAAGUAACAGAAACCAGUAAAUCUAGCUAAGGGUA